RNAcentral lists this ribosomal RNA (450 nucleotides) under uncultured bacterium. RNAcentral's name for it is "bacterial SSU rRNA". It matches the Rfam family "Bacterial small subunit ribosomal RNA", at positions 8 to 456 of the family's 1533-position model. The record is from RNAcentral.
AGAGUUUGAUCAUGGCUCAGAGUGAACGCUGGCGGCGUGCUUAACACAUGCAAGUCGAACGGUAACAGAACUAGCUUGCUAGUUGCUGACGAGUGGCGCACGGGUGAGUAAUAUAUAGAUAACGUGCCUCUUAGUCUGGGAUAGCCAUUGGAAACGAUGAUUAAUACUAGAUACUCCUUCUCCUUUUAAUAGGAGUUGGGAAAGUUUUUCGCUAAGAGAUCGGUCUAUAUCCCAUCAGUUAGUUGGUAGUGUAAGAGACUACCAAGGCAAUGACGGGUAGCGGGUUUGAGAGGAUGAUCCGCCACACUGGUACUGAGACACGGACCAGACUCCUACGGGAGGCAGCAGUGAGGAAUAUUGCACAAUGGAGGAAACUCUGAUGCAGCAACGCCGCGUGGAGGAUGACGCAUUUCGGUGUGUAAACUCCUUUUAUAAGGGAAGAAAAUGACG